This 329-nucleotide unclassified non-coding RNA is filed under the name soil metagenome. Its description in RNAcentral is "partial contains 5.8S ribosomal RNA, internal transcribed spacer 2, and large subunit ribosomal RNA". The stretch from base 1 to 120 matches the Rfam family "5.8S ribosomal RNA", at positions 35 to 154 of the family's 154-position model. The record is from RNAcentral.
GAUGAAGAACGCAGCGAAAUGCGAUAAGUAAUGUGAAUUGCAGAAUUCAGUGAAUCAUCGAAUCUUUGAACGCACAUUGCGCCCCCUGGUAUUCCGGGGGGCAUGCCUGUCCGAGCGUCAUUACAACCCUCAAGCUCAGCUUGGUGUUGGGCCCCGCCGCCCCGGCGGGCCCUAAAGUCAGUGGCGGUGCCGUCCGGCUCCGAGCGUAGUAAUUCUUCUCGCUCUGGAGGUCCGGUCGUGUGCUCGCCAGCAACCCCCAAUUUUUUUCAGGUUGACCUCGUAUCAGGUAGGGAUACCCGCUGAACUUAAGCAUAUCAAUAAGCGGAGGA